RNAcentral lists this ribosomal RNA (428 nucleotides) under uncultured bacterium. RNAcentral's name for it is "bacterial SSU rRNA". It matches the Rfam family "Bacterial small subunit ribosomal RNA", at positions 355 to 775 of the family's 1533-position model. The record is from RNAcentral.
UGGGGAAUCUUGCGCAAUGGGCGAAAGCCUGACGCAGCAACGCCGCGUGGGGGAAGAAGGCCUUCGGGUUGUAAACCUCUUUCAGGAGGGACGAAGCUUCGGCGGUGAACAGCCGUCUGGAGUGACGGUACCUCCAGAAGAAGCCCCGGCUAACUACGUGCCAGCAGCCGCGGUAAUACGUAGGGGGCUAGCGUUGUCCGGAAUCAUUGGGCGUAAAGCGCGCGUAGGCGGCCAUAUAAGUCCGGUGUAAAAGUCACAGGCUUAACCUGUGAAUGCCGCUGGAAACUGUGUGGCUCGAGUCCGGGAGGGGCGAGUGGAAUUCCUGGUGUAGCGGUGAAAUGCGCAGAUAUCAGGAGGAACACCAAUGGCGAAGGCAGCUCGCUGGAACGGUACUGACGCUGAGGCGCGAAAGCGUGGGGAGCGAACAG